This 481-nucleotide ribosomal RNA is filed under the name Myrmeleon crudelis. Its description in RNAcentral is "partial 16S ribosomal RNA". It matches the Rfam family "Bacterial large subunit ribosomal RNA", at positions 1798 to 2552 of the family's 2925-position model. The record is from RNAcentral. Lineage: Eukaryota; Metazoa; Arthropoda; Insecta; Neuroptera; Myrmeleontidae.
UCCUGUUUAACAAAAACAUGUCUUUUUGAUUAUAAUAUAAAGUCUGGCCUGCCCACUGAAUUUUUAAGGGCCGCAGUAUAUUGACUGUGCGAAGGUAGCAUAAUCAUUUGCCUUUUAAUUGAAGGCUAGAAUGAAUGGUCGAACGAAAUACAAACUGUCUCAUUUUUAUAAUUUAAUAAUUUAGCUUUCUAGUUAAAAGGCUGGAAUUCUAUUAAAGGACGAGAAGACCCUAUAGAACUUUAUAAUGAUUAAUUUAAUUAAUUAUAGAAGAAAAAUAUUAUUAUAUUAUAAGUUAUUUUGUUGGGGUGACAUAAAGAUUAAAUAAACUCUUUUUAAAAUUUUACAUAAAUUAAUGAAUAUUUGAUCCAUUAUUAUUGAUUAUUAGAAUAAGUUACCUUAGGGAUAACAGCGUAAUUUUAUUGGAGAGUUCAUAUCGAUAAUAAAGUUUGCGACCUCGAUGUUGAAUUAAAGAAAUUUUAGA